CUAAAUACUACCCAGUGACCGAUAGCGUAUAGUACUGUGAAGGAAAGGUGAAAAGCACCCCGGGAGGGGAGUGAAAAAGAACCUGAAACCCUGUGCCUACAAGCACCUAGAGCACGUCAAUGUGUGAUAGGGUACUUUUUGUAGAACGGUCCGGCGAGCGAUUGUAUGCAGCAAGGUUAAGGACUUAAGGUCUGGAGCCGAAGCGAAAGCGAGUUUGAAAAGGGCGUUAAGUUGCAUAUAAUGGGCCCGAAACCGGGUGACCUACCCAUGGUCAGGUUGAAGUGGAAGUAAAAUUCCAUGGAGGACCGAACCGACCUCCGUUGAAAAGGCGGCGGAUGAACUGUGGGUAGCGGAGAAAUUCCAAUCGAACCCGGAGAUAGCUGGUUCUCCCCGAAAUAGUUUUAGGACUAGCCUCAAGUUAGAUACCUGGAGGUAAAGCACUGAAUAGCCUAGCGGCCGAGAGGUUAGCGAAGCUUAUCAAACUCAGAAUGCCAGAGUAUUGAUGCUUGGGAGUCAGACAGUGUCAGAUAAAUGUCAUUGUCAAAAGGGAAACAGCCCAGAUCUACAGCUAAGGUCCCAAAGUCAGGUUAAGUGGAAAACGAUGUGAAGAUACGCAGACAACCAGGAUGUUGGCUCAGAAGCAGCCACUCAUUCAAAGAGUGCGUAAUAGCUCACUGGUCGAGCGUCUUUGCGCGGAGAAUUUAACGGGGCUAAACCUGACACCGAAGCUUAGGCAAUCCAGUAAUGGAUUGGGUAGGGGAGCGUUGUAUACGCGGAGAAACAGUAGCGUAAGCGGCUGUGGAGUGUAUAGAAGUGAGAAUGCCGGAAUGAGUAGCGCGAAUGCAGUGAGAAUCUGCAUGGCCGAAAGCCUCAGGUUUUUGGAGGAAGGUUCGUCCGCUCCAAGUUAGUCGGGAGCUAAGGUGAGGCCGGAAGGCGUAGCCGAUGCACAGACGGUAGAGAUUCCGUCACCACCAAAAGAGUUAAGCACAGGGACACAUUUGAAGUCUCAGAGCCGGGUGUUGGUUCCGGUAGAGAUCGAGGGAAGUUAGUACCGAAGUCUGGGAUGGAAGAUGGCGAGAAAAGCUGUGUGUAUUUCUGAGGUGCCCGUACCGCAAACCGACACAGGUAGGUAGGAAGAAGAUUCUAAGGCCAACGGGAGAAGGGUUGUUAAGGAACUCGGCAAAUUGACCCCGUAACUUCGGGAGAAGGGGUGCUCCAGAGAUGGAGCCGCAGAGAAUCGGCCCAAGCAACUGUUUACCAAAAACACAGGUUUGUGCUAAAUCGAAAGAUGACGUAUACGAGCUGACGCCUGCCCGGUGCUGGAAGGUUAAGAGGAGAUGUGCAAGCAUUGAAUCGAAGCCCCAGUGAACGGCGGCCGUAACUAUAACGGUCCUAAGGUAGCGAAAUUCCUUGUCAGGUAAG
This 1422-nucleotide ribosomal RNA is filed under the name human gut metagenome. RNAcentral's name for it is "bacterial LSU rRNA". It matches the Rfam family "Bacterial large subunit ribosomal RNA", at positions 466 to 1980 of the family's 2925-position model. The record is from RNAcentral.